RNAcentral lists this ribosomal RNA (500 nucleotides) under uncultured bacterium. Its description in RNAcentral is "partial 16S ribosomal RNA". It matches the Rfam family "Bacterial small subunit ribosomal RNA", at positions 30 to 523 of the family's 1533-position model. The record is from RNAcentral.
AUUGAACGCUGGCGGAAUGCUUUACACAUGCAAGUCGAACGGCAGCACGGACUUCGGUCUGGUGGCGAGUGGCGAACGGGUGAGUAACAUAUCGGAACGUAUCCAAUAAUGGGGGAUAACGAGUCGAAAGAUUCGCUAAUACCGCAUACGCCCUACGGGGGAAAGCUGGGGACCUUCGGGCCUGGCGUUAAUGGAGCGGCCGAUAUCUGAUUAGCUAGUUGGUGAGGUAAAGGCGCACCAAGGCGACGAUCAGUAGCUGGUCUGAGAGGACGACCAGCCACACUGGAACUGAGACACGGUCCAGACUCCUACGGGAGGCAGCAGUGGGGAAUUUUAGACAAUGGGCGCAAGCCUGAUCCAGCCAUUCCGCGUGAGUGAAGAAGGCCUUCGGGUUGUAAAGCUCUUUCGCAAGGGAAGAAAACUUAGCCACUAACAUUGGUUGAGGUUGACGGUACCUUGAUAAGAAGCACCGGCUAACUACGUGCCAGCCGCCGCCGUAA